Rattus rattus (black rat) is the source of this 407-nucleotide long non-coding RNA. RefSeq lists it as uncharacterized. The record is from RefSeq and is a predicted model, not a curated record. Lineage: Eukaryota; Metazoa; Chordata; Mammalia; Rodentia; Muridae. The transcript has 2 exons.
AACUACAUCUCUCCCACCCUGAGAAAAAGAGCUUUGAUCUGGAUAAUUAAAGUCACAACACAAUCUGCUAGGCACUCUUGUGAGGACUUUGAUGGUUUGAAGUGGGAAGACCCACCAUGGCAACCCAUAGCAAAGGAAGGAUGUGGAAGAAGGAAACUUUUUCUUCUUGCUUUCACUUCUGGCAAGUUCAUCUGUCGUGUUGCUACAGCAUUAGACCAGAGCUCUCCAGGAGUCCUCUAGUGCCCCAGGUCGGACUGCCGAGACUUCGUGCCUCAUGGGCUGAACAGCCAGACAGCUAGUGUUGGAAUGCCUGGACUAUAAUGUAAGCCAAUCUAAUAAGCCUCCUUAUGACAUAUUAAUUCCCUUUAUUCUGUUCCAUAAAGAACCAUAGUACACAACCCUUGGAA